UUUCCGUAGGUGAACCUGCGGAAGGAUCAUUAUUGUAUAACCGAGGUGCGAGGGCUGUCGCUGACCCGAAAGGUCGUGCACGCCCGAGUGCCCUCACACCCCGCCAUCUCACCCCUACGUGCACCACCGCGUGGGUCCCCCUUUGGCUUGUUCGGAGGGGGGCUUACGUGUUCACACGAACUUUGUAUGCAGUGUAGAAUGUAUUUUCUGUGUUUGCGAUCACGCAAUCAAUACAACUUUCAACAACGGAUCUCUUGGCUCUC
This 263-nucleotide unclassified non-coding RNA is filed under the name plant metagenome. Its description in RNAcentral is "partial contains small subunit ribosomal RNA, internal transcribed spacer 1, and 5.8S ribosomal RNA". The record is from RNAcentral.